AAUCCAUAGGUUAAUGAGGCGAACCGGGGGAACUGAAACAUCUAAGUACCCCGAGGAAAAGAAAUCAACCGAGAUUCCCCCAGUAGCGGCGAGCGAACGGGGAGGAGCCCAGAGCCUGAAUCAGCAUGUGUGUUAGUGGAAGCGUCUGGAAAGUCGCGCGAUACAGGGUGACAGCCCCGUACACAAAAGCGCAUGUGUUGUGAGCUCGAUGAGUAGGGCGGGACACGUGGUAUCCUGUCUGAAUAUGGGGGGACCAUCCUCCAAGGCUAAAUACUCCUGACUGACCGAUAGUGAACCAGUACCGUGAGGGAAAGGCGAAAAGAACCCCGGCGAGGGGAGUGAAAAAGAACCUGAAACCGUGUACGUACAAGCAGUGGGAGCACAGGUUUACCUGUGUGACUGCGUACCUUUUGU
Molecule: ribosomal RNA, 414 nt
Filed under: Salmonella enterica subsp. enterica
Lineage: Bacteria; Pseudomonadati; Pseudomonadota; Gammaproteobacteria; Enterobacterales; Enterobacteriaceae
Description: partial 23S ribosomal RNA
Rfam family: Bacterial large subunit ribosomal RNA
Source: RNAcentral